CGUCAGCUCGUGUCGUGAGAUGUUGGGUUAAGUCCCGCAACGAGCGCAACCCCUACGUUAGUUGCUAACGCGUGAAGGCGAGCACUCUAGACGAACUGCCGUUGACAAAACGGAGGAAGUGGGAUGACGUCAAAUCAUCAUGCCCCUUAUGUUCUGGGCUACACACGUGCUACAAUGGCCGGUACAGACGGACGCAAAGCCGCGAGGUGGAGCAAAUCCUAAAAAAGCCGGUCUCAGUUCGGAUUGCAGGCUGCAAUUCGCCUGCAUGAAGUCGGAAUCGCUAGUAAUCGCAGGUCAGCAUACUGCGGUGAAUACGUUCCCGGGCCUU
This 328-nucleotide ribosomal RNA is filed under the name uncultured Pelotomaculum sp. Its description in RNAcentral is "bacterial SSU rRNA". It matches the Rfam family "Bacterial small subunit ribosomal RNA", at positions 1053 to 1382 of the family's 1533-position model. The record is from RNAcentral. Lineage: Bacteria; Bacillati; Bacillota; Clostridia; Eubacteriales; Desulfotomaculaceae.